This 253-nucleotide ribosomal RNA is filed under the name uncultured bacterium. RNAcentral describes it as "partial 16S ribosomal RNA". It matches the Rfam family "Bacterial small subunit ribosomal RNA", at positions 524 to 776 of the family's 1533-position model. The record is from RNAcentral.
UACGUAGGUGGCAAGCGUUACUCGGAAUCACUCGGCGUAAAGCGCAGGUAGGAGGUUUGGUAAGUCCGUUGUGAAAGCUCCCGGCUUAACUGGGAGAGGCCAACGGAAACUACCAGGCUAGAGUGUGGUAGAGGUAGCUGGAAUUCCCGGUGUAGAGGUGAAAUUCGUAGAUAUCGGGAGGAACACCAGUGGCGAAGGCGGCGACCUGGACCGAUACUGACGCUGAGACACGAAAGCGUGGGGAGCAAACAGG